RNAcentral lists this transfer RNA (76 nucleotides) under Flagellimonas taeanensis. RNAcentral's name for it is "Allomuricauda taeanensis tRNA_His_GTG". It matches the Rfam family "tRNA". From Rfam's summary of the family: Transfer RNA (tRNA) molecules are approximately 80 nucleotides in length. Their secondary structure includes four short double-helical elements and three loops (D, anti-codon, and T loops). The record is from RNAcentral. RNAcentral also lists the same sequence under 2 other names. Lineage: Bacteria; Pseudomonadati; Bacteroidota; Flavobacteriia; Flavobacteriales; Flavobacteriaceae.
GUGGUUGUAGCUCAGUUGGUUAGAGCGCUGGAUUGUGGUUCCAGAGGUCGCCGGUUCGAGCCCGGUCUUCCACCCA